This is an RNA transcript of Carassius auratus (goldfish), 2998 nucleotides long. RefSeq lists it as uncharacterized. The record is from RefSeq and is a predicted model, not a curated record. The transcript has 5 exons. Lineage: Eukaryota; Metazoa; Chordata; Actinopteri; Cypriniformes; Cyprinidae.
UUAUUUAUUUUUGCCAGUCAUAGUUAAGUCACUACAUGUAGCGCACAUAGUAACCCGCUGUGACACACGUAGAAUUUAAAUUGUUUGGAACAAAGAUCCAUUUACAUCCAUUACAGUCGAGUUGUUGCAAUUUUACACAGCACAGAUCAGAGAAACCAAACAUCGCUCAGCGCAAUACUUGCACAUUCAGCACAAACACUAUUGCGUGGCGUCCACUGGAGGGCAGUAACGCAGGAAACCAUCAACAUUUUCUGCUUCCGCUUAAGAUGACACUGUCAACACACACGAUCGUUUUUCUGCAAUAAUACUGUUGCUGUUGUCACGUUAUUCCGCGGGUGCCUACAGAGAAAUUCGUCACGCGAGAGGGUCGUUUUCAUAAGGGUGAUUAUUUUCAUUCAUUGGCUCGAGGUGUCGUCGAGGAGACAGGACGAUGUCCGAAGCGCUUUUCCUCACAUUCCAGUCUCAGCUCUCCGUGGUCAUGGAGACCGUCCUCAAAUCAGCCAUGUUUGAGAUCACCAGGCUGGUGGAGGACAGCUUCCUCGAGGAAGUGGGUCAUCGGAAACAGGAGCUGGAGGUCUUGAAAAGAAGGCUGCAGCUGUCUGAGAGUAAACUGAGGGAGAGGGAGAGGGAAUGGGAACGGGAAAGGGAAAGAGAACGGGGGAAGAAGACACGGUGCCCGGACUGUGGCCGAGCAGGAGACUCCAGCAGCAGAGAUGAGAGCCAACCUGUCGACACAGUUCGUGGAGCAGACAGCCUUUGUUUAGGCCUAAGCCUGAGAGAUCAGUCUACCAAUCAGCCUACACUAAUUGAAGAUGUGUGGAGUGCCAGACAACACCUGGAGACUAACAAACAAACAACAGUACACUCACACUCUAAAGAGAAGAAUGAUGUACACCCACAGAAUGCAAAAAAGAUAGUCACACCUAACUCCAAUGCACAAAUUCAUCAGGAUUUUCUGCAGAGGCUUCUGGGCAAUUCAGCCGUUCACAGUGAGUCCACCAGUGACUUCAAACCCAGAGUGAGUGAUUUAGACAAAUCCGAAAACAAUAUUACUCUCGAUAAGGAAAUGGACUCACACCACUCAGAACUGUUACAAAGUCCUCAGGAUAAGCCCAACGAUUUGCCGGCAUCUUCGCCAAACGGUAGAGUAAAAACAGAAACAGAGCUGGAUCUUCUACCUGUCAAGGAGGAGGAAGAGAUGGUUCCGGUGUGGGACAGCGUCAACAGAGAUGACGGGUGCCAUGCAGAAAUGGCUGAUCCAAGUCAGGGAGAGCUCAGAGGACCUUGUGAUCAGGAGGAGAUACAGGUAGAAAGCUUUCCAGGUCUAAACUCUCUCGACAUGCCAGGCGCCAUCUCAUAUUUCACACCUUAUUCAGUCAGCACACUGGUACAUCAAGGUAUUAGGGCACACCAUAGUCAUUUAUGCACAACAGAGCAGAUGCUUUCUAGCAUACCAGAGAGAUCACGUUCAUUUUUCCAACCAGAAAAUGGACACAGAUAUCCUGGUUCAAAAAGUUCUCUCCUCUAUUCUCACAAUGAUGUUUGUCCAGGCGAGAACGCAACGAGCCACGAGCAAUACCCAAAGCGUUUCUCCCAGGACAAACUUGGGACGCCUGAACAAAUCCAUGCAGAAAGAUCCCACCAUUGCACCCAAUGUGGGAAAACGUUUGCAAGAGCAUGUGACCUCAAGGCUCAUUCGCUGAUCCACAAGGGCAAGAAACCUCUGAGAUGUCGGCAGUGCGAUCAGACAUUCGCGUACAACUUCGAGCUCAAGGCUCACCAGCGAAAUCACUCAGGGGAGCGACCUCACAUCUGUCAGCACUGCGGCAAGGCCUUCGCUCGAAUGAGCAACUUCAGGCAGCAUCAGAACAUCCACACUCGGGAGAAACUCUUCAGCUGCACUCAAUGCGGGAUGCGAUUCAAUCGAGCCACCAACCUGCGAGUUCAUCUCAGACGACACAGCCACGCAGGGAAGACCUACAAUUGCCCUUUUUGUGGAAAGAGCUUUCUGAACCCCAGACAAAUGAAGGCUCAUUUACAAAAAGCCCAUGGAAGAAGCGGGAAAUAAACAUGUCUAAUUUGAAAAUUCAGUUUGAACUGUUAGAUCAAUUCAUGUUUACAUAUAAUAAAUGGUCUGCGUUGUUAUAACUCAAGAAGAUAGCAGAGGACCCACUGUCCCAUCGUUUCCACUUUAGAGAGAACUAAACAAGAUCUGGACAAAUUGUUAUGCAUGGAAUGUUUGCAUUAUAGAAAGAUGAGGAAUCUUUGGUUUCCUUAUAGGUUUAAUACAUAGAGAAAUUGGAAUGACUGAUUUACACCAACAGGAAAUAUUUUGCUGUUGUAUUAUCAAUGUAUAAUAUCUGGUAUAUAUUAUAUAUUUAAUGUUUUAUGUAUUCCCUCCAACAACAGUAAAGGCACAGUUUGUAGCACACCCUUUUACCUGAGAAUGUUUAUAUUUUAACUAAAAAGGUACCCUGGCUUUCACUUAAAUUGUGAUGUGUCCUUGUUGUUUCAACUUUCAUGGCAUUUUGUUGGAAAAAGUAAAUGAACCAUCAGAUGUAGCAACUGGUUGCACCUCUAUUUCUUGUUCUUGACAAUCAGUCCCACCUCAGCAAGUCAGUAAAGUAAGUCCAAAAUUCUCCAGCUCCCUUCAGUCUUCCUUUCAGACUUCAAUUCUCCUUUUCAGUGUGUUUUUUUAUUUAUAUUUUUUUGGAUUGAUGAACACUGUUGUUGGACAAUACAAGACCUCCUGCUCAGCCAUUUCCACAAGAUUUCGGUGAUCUCCAGCAGCAUUGUGUCUUGAUGCCUGCCUCUCCUGGAGUGACCGUAGCCGGACACCUAUAUUCCGCUAAAAUACAGAUUGGCCAGAGGUUUGCAGAACACGUUUCCACGGAACAAGGAAAUUUACACCCCAUGAACAAGCAGAGAACAUUCAGUGUGGUGGCCAGAGAGAUCCUGACUCAGUGUCAGGUGUGGCAGAAGGCCUGCUAUAGCAGGA